AAGAGGGAACCCGGUGGAAGUCCGGGACUGCCCCGCAGCGGUGAGCGGGAACGACCGCCGUCACACGCACUGGCCCCGGAAGGGGGCUGGGAAGCGACGGCCACUAGGAGUCCGCCCU
This 118-nucleotide non-coding RNA is filed under the name Streptomycetaceae bacterium. Lineage: Bacteria; Bacillati; Actinomycetota; Actinomycetes; Kitasatosporales; Streptomycetaceae. The record is from RNAcentral.